Molecule: transfer RNA, 71 nt
Filed under: Diddensiella santjacobensis
Lineage: Eukaryota; Fungi; Ascomycota; Dipodascomycetes; Dipodascales; Trichomonascaceae
Description: tRNA-Trp
Rfam family: tRNA
About the family: Transfer RNA (tRNA) molecules are approximately 80 nucleotides in length.
Source: RNAcentral
AAGAGUAUCGUAUAGUGGUAAUACUACAAAUUUCAAAUUUGUAUACAGUGGUUCGAAUCCGCUUACUCUUG